GCCGAUGUGGCUCAAUGGUAGAGCAAGGGUUUUGUAAACCCUGGGUUGGGGGUUCGAUUCCCUCCAUCGGCUCCA
RNAcentral lists this transfer RNA (75 nucleotides) under Candidatus Omnitrophota bacterium. RNAcentral's name for it is "Candidatus Omnitrophica bacterium tRNA-Thr". It matches the Rfam family "tRNA". From Rfam's summary of the family: Transfer RNA (tRNA) molecules are approximately 80 nucleotides in length. Their secondary structure includes four short double-helical elements and three loops (D, anti-codon, and T loops). Lineage: Bacteria; Pseudomonadati; Candidatus Omnitrophota. The record is from RNAcentral.